Molecule: long non-coding RNA, 1381 nt
Filed under: Daphnia pulicaria
Lineage: Eukaryota; Metazoa; Arthropoda; Branchiopoda; Diplostraca; Daphniidae
Description: uncharacterized LOC124341513, transcript variant X3
Source: RNAcentral
GUCUGCUGGCUCUCAAUCUGCACAUGGUGCAUUGGUGCUCUGCAUAUCCAUAAAGACCAUAAAUCCAUAUCAUCAAAAUUCAAAAGGAAGAAAUUCACGUGUCACGUCGGGCGUUGACUCGAAAGAAUCGAAGUGAUAGAUUCUCUAACUUUUUGCUUGAAACUGCAACAUAUUUGCAUUAAGACAAACUGGUAGAAAAUAAUUUGAGCGAUUAAAGUGACGGAAGUCACUUAAUUAACUUGAUUGGUUUCUAAAUGUAAUUUUCAGAAACAAGCUUCAUGGCAAAAAGACACACUGAUUUGGCCUUGGUCAAAUCAUCUGAUCACAUGGCUUGUUGGCUUGACUGCCGUCCAUUUUACCACAUUUCUAUGUGUACCAGAUGUAUGUCUCAUCUGAUGCUGAAAUAGGCCUACUUUACAGAAGAAGUUUCACAGCCAGUUGAAGUCUGAGUUUCAGCAGUGCUAUCUAACAUGCUCAUGGAUUUGUUGCAUCUUCAUUGAAGUCCAAUGUGGACAUGGCUUUGUUGCAGCCAGCUGGUGAAAGGUGUUCUUGCUGGCUUGCUACCCGUACCAGCUAUAGCUUUUGCCACAUACAGAAACACUAAAGAACGAUAGCUAAGCUGAAAAAAUUUUUACAUUAGGAUUAACAGUCAUUUGAAUUCUUGGCUUAACCUAUUUCUUCACUGCAUUCUAAUGUGGAUUUGUUAAGCCAGCUAGUUAAUUUACGUCAUACAAUCAUGCAAUAUUCUUAAAGGCACCUUUUUAAAAAUCUAACUUCAGCAAUCUAUUUGUAUCCAAUUGUUUAGGCUGCAUGGAAUUCUCAUUUCCCUUUGAUGUGAACUUCAAUCACAUACACUAAUUAAAGGUUUACGUUCCCAGAGUUGCUGCCUAAUGUGGCGUGUUGUUCCCGCCUAUGCCGAUGAAAGAUAUUUUUUCUUCAAGUUGAAAUGUGGCUGUUCGUUGGUGCUGGCGUCGUGUAGCGGAAGUUGCAUCCUGUAUUUUGUUCAAUUGUACAAGUGUCUUUAUCGUUUUUAUGUUGAGAAGUAACAGAAAUAUGGGGAGUUUUUACGUUAAAUAAAUAAUAAAUAUUUUCGGGAUUAGGAAAACACCAAGGAGGAAGAUGGUGGGGGUUGAUGACUUAAAUUGAAAUGCUAAUUAGUAGUGACGUGAAAUUUAGUGUUGACACUCUUAUUAACCCAUAACCCAACAUAAAUUCAGAUAUCUAUAGAUCUAGAUUAUCUCUAUAACCCAUCCCUCUCACUCCUCUAAUACUCAUACCUCUAAUAUCCAAACUCCUAAUACACAUACUUUUUAAUCUCAUACCUAAUUAAUGUACAUAUGUAACAUAAAUUUAUAUAAUAAACAAAAAUUCAUGAAAAUAA